This 784-nucleotide ribosomal RNA is filed under the name uncultured Glomus. RNAcentral describes it as "SSU rRNA". It matches the Rfam family "Eukaryotic small subunit ribosomal RNA", at positions 325 to 1111 of the family's 1831-position model. The record is from RNAcentral. Lineage: Eukaryota; Fungi; Glomeromycota; Glomeromycetes; Glomerales; Glomeraceae.
AUGGUAGGAUAGAGGCCUACCAUGGUGGUAACGGGUAACGGGGUAUUAGGGCACGACACCGGAGAGGGAGCCUGAGAAACGGCUACCACAUCCAAGGAAGGCAGCAGGCGCGCAAAUUACCCAAUCCCGACACGGGGAGGUAGUGACAAUAAAUAACAGUACAGGGUUCUUUGAAUCUUGUAAUUGGAAUGAGUACAAUUUAAAUCUCUUAACGAGGAACAAUUGGAGGGCAAGUCUGGUGCCAGCAGCCGCGGUAAUUCCAGCUCCAAUAGCGUAUAUNAAAGUUGUUGCAGUUAAAAAGCUCGUAGUUGAAUUUCGGGAUCAAUACGUCGGUCGUGCUUUCGGGUACGUACUGGCGUCAUUGGUUUCUCCUUUCUGACGAACCAUGAUGUCAUUAAUUUGGUGUUAUGGGGAGUUAGGACUGUUACUUUGAAAAAAUUAGAGUGUUUAAAGCAGGCAUUAGCUUGAAUACAUUAGCAUGGAAUAAUGAAAUAGGACGUUCGAUCCUAUUUUGUUGGUUUCUAGGAUCAACGUAAUGAUUAAUAGGGAUAGUUGGGGGCAUUAGUAUUCAAUUGUCAGAGGUGAAAUUCUUGGAUUUAUUGAAGACUAACUACUGCGAAAGCAUUUGCCAAGGAUGUUUUCACUAAUCAAGAACGAAAGUUAGGGGAUCGAAGAUGAUCAGACACCGUCGUAGUCUUAACCAUAAACUAUGCCGACUAGGGAUCGGAUGAUGUUAAUUUUUAAUGACUCAUUCGGCGCCUUACGGGAAACCAAAGUGUUUGGG